AUUGAACGCUGGCGGCAGGCCUAACACAUGCAAGUCGAGCGGAGCGGCGGACGGGUGAGUAAUGCCUAGGAAUCUGCCUGGUAGUGGGGGAUAACGUCCGGAAACGGGCGCUAAUACCGCAUACUAUCAGAUGAGCCUAGGUCGGAUUGGCUAGUUGGUGGGGUAAUGGCCUACCAAGGCGACGAUCCGUAACUGGUCUGCGAGGAUGAUCAGGCACACGGGAAUGGAGAAACGGUCCAGACUCCGACGGUAGGCAGAAGUGGGGAAUAUUGGAAAAUGGGGGAAAGCCUGAUCCAGCCAUGCCGCGGGUGUGAAGAAGGUCUUCGGAUUGUAAAGCACUUUAAGUUGGGAGGCGUUACCAACAGAAUAAGCACCGGCUAACUUCGUGCCAGCAGCCGCGGUAAUAC
RNAcentral lists this ribosomal RNA (407 nucleotides) under uncultured bacterium. Its description in RNAcentral is "partial 16S ribosomal RNA". It matches the Rfam family "Bacterial small subunit ribosomal RNA", at positions 30 to 526 of the family's 1533-position model. The record is from RNAcentral.